RNAcentral lists this unclassified non-coding RNA (337 nucleotides) under Hevea brasiliensis (rubber tree). The record is from RNAcentral. Lineage: Eukaryota; Viridiplantae; Streptophyta; Magnoliopsida; Malpighiales; Euphorbiaceae.
UCACAGUUCUGAAGCCAACUCCAUUGGAACUCAAAAUUGAAGCUUAAGGGCAGAAAUAAGGUAGAGAAAGAAUGCAUGCUUGAAUCUGUUUGAUGCUUAUAGGUAAGCAAAAAGUGUUAAUUUCAUUGAUUCUUGAGGGAGGCUUUGUUGGGAUNNNACAGGAGGAAAAAGGGUGUGAGUUUUUAAAUUAGUCAGGUCCUACUGGAUCUGGAUGGACCCAAUAGGAAAGGAAUUGAUGGAUCAAUCAAGCUAUAUGCAAAUGAACCUCACAAUUCAGGGUCAAUCAACUCAAAUCAGCAAGGGGGGGAAUAAUAACAGUGUUGAUGCCAUCUUCAAU